Molecule: long non-coding RNA, 1020 nt
Organism: Oncorhynchus kisutch (coho salmon)
Lineage: Eukaryota; Metazoa; Chordata; Actinopteri; Salmoniformes; Salmonidae
Exons: 4
Source: RefSeq, a predicted model, not a curated record
AUAUUUUAUUUCAGUUCAUGAAAUGGGACCAACACUUUACAUGUUGGGUUUAUAUAUUUUUUUCAGUAUAGGUAGGUCGUGAAUGGUCUCUCUCCAGUACAGUAGGUGGCAGUGUAUGCUCCGCCAAAGCAAUCCAAAAGAAGAAGUAUUUUUGUCCUCGUCUGGGGCGGCAAACGAGCGAAGUGGAGCUCCUUUUUAAAAACUUUUGUUCAAACCUUACAUGUUGCUGUGUAUUGACUAAAGGAGAUGAUUCGCAUGGAUGGAAAUGACCGAAACCAAUGUGGUUCAGCAUAUCUCAACGAGUCCGGUGUCCUUGAAGUCGAGAUGCAUGCUGACAAAGUGUGUCGGCAUCGCAUCGUGUCCGAUGUCCUUGAUGAACUCACAUGAUGGGGCGUCUAUUGAGACCAGAUACAUGACGACAAUGAAGGGGCAAAGCAUAGAAAUAUAUUGACAGAUUCUAUUUCUGUUAGAAAUAGAUCCCUCUCACCGCUGCUGUAAUUAGCCUACCUGAAUUGUUGGAGAGAAGUUUCCAAAGCCAUCUGUUUGAACCCCCAGGAGGUGAUGCCCCUCUGUGCUCCUCUUCAGCCCAGUGGGUUCUGACUCAUCAGUUGAUGCACUUCCUCUCUUGUGUUAGGUUUUGUACCACUUCCUGGUUCCAACGCUUGUCCUGAUGGAGUGAAGGAGCAGAAUCAAACUAACCGUUGAUGUUUUGACUGAUGUAUAUUCAUAGAAAUAGAUUAAAUGUAAUCUAUAGUGGUGUAUUGUCAUCAGGAGAACCAUUUGUCAAAGAUUCAGUGAAGUAUGAUAUUAUCCACUUACUCAAGGAGAAGGUAGCAAGCUAUAAGCAUGAGAAUGCUCUUGCAGGGGGCUCUGUAAUGCUCAUAUCACAUUUGUAUGAAUGUAUUUCUGGAAUAUACUGUUCUCUUAGUGGCGUAAACUAAUGUGGCACGAUGUCAGAACUAUUUUGCCUUACAUUUGUCCAUGAUUCAUCAAUAAAACUAGUAAACAAACUUGUAUCCA